UUAAGAUUCAAACGCACACAGCAAUAAAUCUUAUGGAGAAUCUCUAUUAAUCCAUUUAAAACCUAAAACUGGCUACAUCAAAAGUGUUUGGGCAGUUUGCAAAUCCUAAAGAUGAUUUACAAGCAAACUGACAAACCGAAUAAGCCCAGGACACUGGAAAAUACUUGAAAAACAUGGAUGUUCCUCAACAGAUUGGUUCUGUGGACUGUGGUGCGUUCAUGUUGAUUGUUGUCACGGAUCGGGGAAGCAGGAACAGGAAGACGGAGAAUCGGGAAACAAAGGAUUUAUUGGGGAAACCAGCUAGGAACACGGGGCAAUAGAAGUAGCGACUUAAAUGACAGGACUGGGGAAACAUAUUUUGACGCGGAGUUAAAUACGCGGAGC
Long non-coding RNA from Brienomyrus brachyistius, 384 nucleotides. RefSeq lists it as uncharacterized. Lineage: Eukaryota; Metazoa; Chordata; Actinopteri; Osteoglossiformes; Mormyridae. The record is from RefSeq and is a predicted model, not a curated record. The transcript has 3 exons.